Molecule: long non-coding RNA, 464 nt
Filed under: Mus musculus (house mouse)
Lineage: Eukaryota; Metazoa; Chordata; Mammalia; Rodentia; Muridae
Description: predicted gene, 48023
Source: RNAcentral
UAGAGGUUCAGAAUUCUGGGAUCUACCAUAUACGAAGAUGGAGAGACCCUGAAGUGAGCUGGCAGGCCGGAUUUUCAAGCACAUUACAGGAAUUUUGUAGAGGGAAGUCCAGCAUGCUGGGGUCUACCAUUUACCAAGAUGGAGAUGUCCAGGCGCUCCAGUAGUUCAUUCCAGUUAAUAGCCCUCCAAUCUGGCUGCUGACUUUAAUUUGGAAUUCACUGAAGUGUUGAUAGCGAUGACCUGGACCACUGUGAUUUGAGAUUAGCAGGACUAAAACCCAACAUGAAAAAGAAGUCCUCUGGUACACAAGGAAAGCAAUCACAGGAGGGAUCUUCCACAAGACCGGAGUUGAUGAAAGGCUAUUUGUCUCCUGUCACCGGCACCAAAGCUUUAAAGAAUCCUUCCAGUGAUGGUCCCACAUGAAGAACAAAGUUCCUGGGCUGAAGAGGGAGAGGCACUUAGCU